UAUUCUUCUUUAUCUCUUUUCUUCUUCUUCUUCUGCUCCUCUGCUUUCCAUCUGAGGUUGAUUGUGAGGAUCGAUUCGAGAGAUAUUACCGAGGAAGAUGUUUAGGCGACGAAGGAGAUGAUGUUGCCAUUAAUUAUGGUGGAGAAGAAUUAAGGAUUUUUAGGGCUACGAUUCACAGAGGGAAAAGUAGAAUUAGGGUUUCGGAAGUUGGGUUCAUGAAGAACUGUUGAUGAAAUCAAGAAGUUAGAAGAUGGGUUUGUCCUCAAUUGACGAUUGUUUGAAUCUGUAGUGUUGUUUGAGGAUUAAAUUAGGAAGCUAGGGUUUGAGUUUGGUUUCAUGCAUGGAAGAAUUGAGUUGUAGGUUGAUAAUUAGAAGAUGAAAUUGAUGUUUUGAGAAGGAGAUUUGAGAUGGGUUUUAAUAGUUUGAGUGGGUUGGGGUUCAGAUGAAGAGUAAUUAUGAAUUGGAGAAGUCAGGGUUUUGAAGUUGAGAUCGAUUGAAGCUCAUGUUUGGAUUUGUUGGAGAACUAGGGUUUAAUUCUCGUAUCAAGAAGGUGAUGAAGUUACUAUUGGUGCUGGUUCAGUGAACCUAUUAUGAGGUAAUUGAUUUCUCAAUAACUUAGUAUAGUUAUUCUGUUCUGUUUUGAGUUUAUGGGUUUGUUAAUUGAACUAAGAGUUGAGAUGGAUGUGUGUGUAUUGAACGGACCUGAGGCUUUGAGAAUGUUUGGUGGUGUUGCUUUGACUGUGUUUGUGUAGCUAGUAAUGUGAUUGAGAUACAAAGUAGGAUUGAACCAAGUGGAAUUAGAUAAUGGAACUGAAAUUACAGUUAGUGUUGGCUGGAGAUAAUGUAUUUGGCAGGGAAGAAGAUUUAGUGUUUGAAAUGAAGAACAUAUAUACCUUGCUGGAGUCAUUACACUUAAUUAGAGCUAUUAGUGUUGAGAUUCACAGAUGCAGGGGUCAUUGUGGUUGCAGUGGCAGUUCAGUUGUGUUGGUGGUUUGAGAUGAUGUUGUCUGUGUAACUGAAGAUGUAGGGUAUUGUGAUUUGGUCUUGAGGUGAACUGUAAUGGGUGCAGAUGAGAAUUGUGUUGGAUAUGUAUGUAUUGAGUUGAUGAUGCUAAAACUGAACUCGGUGGUAGUGUUGUGAUGAUGUUAGGUUGGUUAUGGUAUCUGUGAAGCUGUAAUUUUGAUUGACUUAGUAGUCUUGGUUCUGGAGAGGCCGAGUCUAGUUGAACUGAUGAGACGUUGCUGAUGAGUUACAAUUGUUCAGUGGUACUGUUGUUGGUGAUUAGAGAGUAGCAGGUGAUGAUAUGAACUGAGUUUGAGUAAGGCUGUGAGAGUUUGUAAUUGAGUUAUUCAACUGAAGUUUGGUGAAUUCAGAUUGGUAGAUUGUAUUUGCUGUGAAAGCUUGUUACUGCAAUUGCAGUUUGUCUGUAUUAACAACGAUCGAUUCAAAGAAUGAACAAGUGGAUCGUGGAUCUCGAGAUAGGCAUGGCUUGUCAUCGGUGCCGGCGAAACCGAAGCACAAGCUAAGGAAAAGCAUAAAAAGAGCAGCAGAACCCAGUUGUUAUUGUGGAUAAAACCGGUUGGUGUCAUUCUCGAACCUCAUUAUACUUAUAUUUGCGUGAAUGAUAAACCAUGAUUAGCCUGAUACACUAUCUGCCUUACUGAGCAUUAUUUCCACCUACAAUUUAAGGUAUCCAUGAGCAUGAUUCUGUGAAGACUGAACAACAUAUCUACUUGUUGAAUUUGUUAUUUCACUAAGAAAUUCUUAUUCUCGGCAGAACUCGUGUCUGUAUACUUUUGGCCCUGAAUCUGUUUGCCAUUCAUACUUCCCUGAUUUACUCAUUGUUGUUUG
This is a long non-coding RNA of Papaver somniferum (opium poppy), 1851 nucleotides long. RefSeq lists it as uncharacterized. The transcript has 3 exons. The record is from RefSeq and is a predicted model, not a curated record. Lineage: Eukaryota; Viridiplantae; Streptophyta; Magnoliopsida; Ranunculales; Papaveraceae.